This is a long non-coding RNA of Plutella xylostella (diamondback moth), 2042 nucleotides long. RefSeq lists it as uncharacterized. The record is from RefSeq and is a predicted model, not a curated record. NCBI's taxonomy places the organism in Eukaryota, Metazoa, Arthropoda, Insecta, Lepidoptera, Plutellidae.
CGUUUAAAUUUACCAAUGCUAUUCUUUACUAAUAUCAAGCUACUUAUUUCAUCAUAGGUCCGGCCGGAUUACUAGAUGUAGCUAGGAGUUGUUCUUUAGUUCAUUUAGUUUCUAUAUUGUCUGUGAUUCGCAUUGACUGGCCGGUCACUGGAUUCAUGCGGAUUCAUUCAAUUCAAGAUGGCAGAAAAAACAAGAAUAACUUUUAAAAAGACUUCUGUUUGUUAUUAGAUUCCUUUUUGAAUAGUUUGUGUUCCUUAUAAAAGUAUUUUACUUCAAACUUCCUGAGUGUCUUAUUUUCAGCAUCUUUUAUAGUACCAAGCUAACAUUUCAGAAUUGAGAUGAGUAAGUCUACGCCCACCGGUAAGUGAAUUUAUUUCUGUGCUUAGUUAUGAAAAUUGUUAUGGAUAUAACAAUAUGCAGUUUCUAUGAUUACUGAAAAGAAAUUUACGUAUUAUUAACCACUAUCUUAAGAAAUUAAUAUCACGUAAAGUCCAAAUAAGGUUAUAAAAGGUAAAAACGCGAUCAUCACGCUAUAUUUGGCGAAAAUUUUAUCAUUGUGAUUAAUUUCAUUAUCGAAAAGUGCAAAACACAGCUUUAUAAGGUAGAUUUGUAUUAAAACUGUUGUCUUGCAAACAGCAACAGUGAAUGCAAAGUACUUUACUUUACUUUAUUUGAAAUAUCGCGUGCGUAUUAGGCCUAAAUGCAAAAUGGAGAAUUCGCAAUUCCUCCCAUUAUUGUGAAUUAGCAGUAGCAACUGUAGCAAGUCAAUAAUUAAUAAUCAUAAAGUUUAUUUCUCUUUGAUUUAAUUGAUCAAGUAAUAACUGAAUUUUUAGCAUGAACUGACGAUGUAAUAUCCUACAGAAAAAAAUCUUAAUACCGCGAUGUAAUAUCCACCAUGGAAUGCCAACCCUACUUUAGAGUAUUGUACUCUAUAUCAUUUAAGCGUGAUCUAUAAUCUAUAACACUAAUAGAGUACGCUAAAAUAGCUUUUUUUUUACACAUUUUUACUAGUCAUAUAAUAUUACGCAAAAACACAUAAUCAAAACCAAAAAAGUCUACUAUUUACUUUGGACGAUCUUGAACGCAGCCACUUAUGUCAAACGUCAAAUGUCACAUGUGACAAGUUAUUUUGAGAAGUUUUUGAGGUUUGUUUUGUUUGUCACUUUGGUUUUGUUUGUUUGGAAUACUUUUAUCCAUUCGUUAUAACGUGAUUGAUGAACAUUGAUAACGCCGAUCAAGCAUCCUGUACUGAUAAUAAUAACGCAAGUACCCCAUCUAAAAAUCGAAAAGUUUUGACGAAGAAAAAAAAGGACACAGAAGUACACACAACUUUGGGAAAAUGAGUUUUCAUGGCUAAGAAAAGACUCAGAAAGUGAUACAAAUGCAAAAUCCAUAAUCUGUGGCGAAGUUUUCUCUCUAUUCCAUCAGCUGGAGUUGUACACAUUCUGAGGAACAAUGAACAUACAGUGUAGCCGACCAAAAAUUCACCUAGCAACGUUGCAGCGUAGCAGACCAGCGUCAGACCAGCAUUAAGUACAUCAAUAAGAACAGCCGGAAUAUGGUUUACUAAUUACUUAUAGUCUCUUUGAGUUUUGUUUUAAUUAUGAUUGCUAAGUGCAUUUAAUAUCACCGCAUAGAUAUAAUAACUUUAUUAAUUUUGCUAAUUCAUUCAGUUUGUUAACAUAAAUUUAGAACUUGUUAGUUAGCGUUCGAAUGGCCGACAGGGAAUGGGGACAUUCCCAAUAACAGGACGGCCGACUGUUAGCGUUUAAAUUUACCAAUGCUAUUCUUUACUAAUAUCAAGCUACUUAUUUCAUCAUAGGUCCGGCCGGAUUACUAGAUGUAGCUAGGAGUUGUUCUUUAGUUCAUUUAGUUUCUAUAUUGUCUGUGAUUCGCAUUGACUGGCCGGUCACUGGAUUCAUGCGGAUUCAUUCAAUUCAAGAUGGCAGAAAAAACAAGAAUAACUUUUAAAAAGACUUCUGUUUGUUAUUAGAUUCCUUUUUGAAUAGUUUGUGUUCCUUAUAAAAGUAUUUUACUUCAAA